Molecule: ribosomal RNA, 279 nt
Filed under: uncultured bacterium
Lineage: Bacteria
Description: partial 16S ribosomal RNA
Rfam family: Bacterial small subunit ribosomal RNA
Source: RNAcentral
UGCCAGCAGCCGCGGUAAUACGGAGGGUCCAAGCGUUAUCCGGAUUCAUUGGGUUUAAAGGGUGCGCAGGUGGGCUUUUAAGUCAGUGGUGAAAUACUGCCGCUUAACGGUAGAAUUGCCAUUGAUACUGAGAGUCUUGAGUAUGGUUGAGGUAGGCGGAAUGUGUUGUGUAGCGGUGAAAUGCAUAGAUAUGACACAGAACGCCGAUUGCGGAGGCAGCUUACUAAGCCAUUACUGACACUGAGGCACGAAAGCGUGGGGAGCAAACAGGAUUAGAUA